Molecule: ribosomal RNA, 569 nt
Filed under: uncultured Sordariomycetidae
Lineage: Eukaryota; Fungi; Ascomycota; Sordariomycetes
Description: eukaryotic LSU rRNA
Rfam family: Eukaryotic large subunit ribosomal RNA
Source: RNAcentral
GACCUCGGAUCAGGUAGGAAUACCCGCUGAACUUAAGCAUAUCAAUAAGCGGAGGAAAAGAAACCAACAGGGAUUGCCCCAGUAACGGCGAGUGAAGCGGCAACAGCUCAAAUUUGAAAUCUGGCUUCGGCCCGAGUUGUAAUUUGUAGAGGAUGCUUUUGGUGCGGUGCCUUCUGAGUUCCCUGGAACGGGACGCCAGAGAGGGUGAGAGCCCCGUAUAGUUGGACACCAAGCCUUUGUAAAGCUCCUUCGACGAGUCGAGUAGUUUGGGAAUGCUGCUCUAAAUGGGAGGUAUAUCUCUUCUAAAGCUAAAUAUAGGCCAGAGACCGAUAGCGCACAAGUAGAGUGAUCGAAAGAUGAAAAGCACUUUGAAAAGAGGGUUAAAUAGUACGUGAAAUUGUUGAAAGGGAAGGGCUUGUGACCAAGACUUGUGCCGGGCUGAUCAUCCACGGUUCUCCGUGGUGCACUCUGCCCCGGCUCAGGCCAGCGUCCGGUUCUGGCAGGGGGACAAAAAGCUUAAGGNAACGUGGCUCCUNCCGGGAGUGUNAUAGCCCUUUGCUCAAUACCCC